Molecule: non-coding RNA, 2090 nt
Organism: Schizosaccharomyces pombe (fission yeast)
Lineage: Eukaryota; Fungi; Ascomycota; Schizosaccharomycetes; Schizosaccharomycetales; Schizosaccharomycetaceae
Source: the annotation of a GenBank genome assembly
AACUCCCUUGUUACAAUCAAACUUUUAAUAAAGCAAAUAAUUUUUUCAAUAAACCUUCUAAAUGUUUUUUCCUCUCCCUACUCUACCUUUUGAGCAAGCAAAAUUUGCACUGGACGGCCGUCUUCGAUAAAUCCAAUCUCAUCUUUUAAAACCCUAAUUCGUCCAUCCGACUCUGAAACUAUUGCUGCCGCUUCUCCUUUUUCGAAUCUAUGAUCACUUCCUCUAGGAUGUUCAUACUGAUGCACCCCAUCGUUGACAAAUGUACACAAGAAGAGAAAUCCGUUAUUUCUCAAUAAUGAAGAACUUUGUCUCAGCAACGCACGGUUUAAGAAUCGAAUUUGUAGAACUAAAUCGUAUUUGUAAACAUCACCUUCUGGAACGUUUUGAAAAUCAGCUAGCAUAUCUGCCAAAGAGAUUGCCGUUGCGUUUGGCUCUUGUUUUCCAUCUCUAGUAUACAAUUUCCAUAAUCCCGAUGCAUCUACUUUAGCAACUUUUUUUCCUUCUAUCCUAUCCUCUAGACCUAAACCGCUGAAAAGCUCCGAAAAUCUUUGAAUCGCGCGCUUUUCAGCAUCUAAUGCAGAAACCAUCCAAUGUUUACCGCUCUCUCUAAAACAUAUCCAUGCCAAAUCCCUCCCAGAUCCACAUCCAAUGUCUAAAACUCUUGCAUUAUUUGUCUUUAUUCCUUUUUCAACGACUGGCAUGACCUCUUUUAAAUACGGACAUGGUUCAAAUAGUAAAUUUCGAUUUGGACCGCUUUCCAAAAGCUCAUUCUGAGGUAAAGAUAAAUCUUCCCAUAUUUUAUGACUGAACAUAAAGUGUCCAGCUAUAUUCCAUCCUCUCUUCUUCAAUUGUUGAGCGCAGGUUCCUGUCUCUUCCGUCUCUAUUUUAUCUCCCUGGUCUUCGACAACGAAGAGUUCCUCUUGCUUUGCUGGUAAUUGAUACCAGCAUUUAGAAAUUUUUUCACUUGGAAUAUUGACUGACUUUCGUAAAUGGCUGAUUUCGUACUUGGAUUGAGCACGAACAUCUAAACAUUUAAUCUCACCUCGAACCACGGCCUUUACGAGAUGUUUUGGAUCAUUUAAACUAUUCAUUUGCAUAUUCAAGGGUCACAUAAUCUUCAAUCGAAUUGACUUGAACAAUUUACGCACAAGUUAAUGCCGUUUUAGAACUUUGGAAGUUGGUUACUCGAAAGAGCACAUAAAGUUAGCUUAAGAAAAUUACAUUAUAAUUGAAAUAUCUAAAUUAAAAUGACCAAGGUCACUUGACAAGUGAAAAGUUUAAAAUUAAAGGCAGUACAUAAACAUUAAAUAUUUGUCAUCGUUUCUCAAUCCCAUCGAUGUUGUCGAACACCGGUAGACGGAUCUAUUCUUCCUAACGCAUCUCCAAUCCACUCACUUAGACGAUGAUAAAUAGACAAACUAGCGUUAUGGUAGCUAAUAGAGUGUGCGCUAUCGGGAAAAACCGCCAUGUCAUAGUUAUAACAGUUUGCGAGGUUAAGUCCAUCCAUCAAAUGCAUUGAGUGUUGAAAAUGAACAUUAUCAUCACCCGUUCCAUGUGCAACAAAGAACCUCUUUAACUGUUUAAACUUUUCGUAGUCAUGAAUUUGCGAAUUUUUGUAGCCUUCUUUAUUAUAUUGCGGAAGGUCCAUGUAUCUUUCGGUAUAUACAGAAUCAUAAAGACGCCAAUCAGUUACCGGGGCUACAGCCAUUCCAUACGAAAAAACGUCUUGUGUUUCCAAUGUCUUCAAUGUCAGAUACCCUCCAUAACUCCAACCCCAUAUACCUACAUGAUUCUCAUCAACAAAUGGCAAAUCCGCCCAAAAUUUACCAGCUUGGCCUUGAUCGUAUGAUUCCCAUUCUCCUAAAUGCCUUGACACAGAAUAUCUAAAAGCAUUACCAUUAAAUCCAGUCCCUCUUCCAUCCAAUGUUACCACAAUGAAUUCAAAGUCUGGAUGAGAAGCGAGAUAAGCUUGAAAGUCAACUCUGAACAAUUUAGCAACUUGCUGAGAUCCAGGGCCUCCAUAAGCAAAAAAUAAAACUGGGUACUUUUUGUUAACAUCAAAAUUUCUGGGUCGUCGUUCCAUAAAAUUA